Molecule: transfer RNA, 73 nt
Filed under: Pteridomonas sp. YPF1301
Lineage: Eukaryota; Dictyochophyceae; Pedinellales
Description: tRNA-Trp
Rfam family: tRNA
About the family: Transfer RNA (tRNA) molecules are approximately 80 nucleotides in length. Their secondary structure includes four short double-helical elements and three loops (D, anti-codon, and T loops).
Source: RNAcentral
ACAUUUUUAAUUCAAUUGGUAGAAUAGUAAUUUCCAAAAUUAAAUGAUAAAGGUUCAAGUCCUUUAAAAUGUG